This 332-nucleotide ribosomal RNA is filed under the name uncultured eukaryote. RNAcentral's name for it is "partial 18S ribosomal RNA". It matches the Rfam family "Eukaryotic small subunit ribosomal RNA", at positions 592 to 976 of the family's 1831-position model. The record is from RNAcentral.
CAAUAGCGUAUAUUAAAGUUGUUGCAGUUAAAAGGCUCGUAGUUGAAUUUCGGGUCCCCGCGCUCGGCGCUUCAUUGUGCCGUCGUGGUGUCCCUCCUCGCCGUAAGGCGUCCUUUACUGUGAAAAAAUUAGAGUGUUCAAAGCAGGCAAUCGCUUGAAUACAUUAGCAUGGAAUAAUAAGAUAGGAUCUUGUCUAUUUUGUUGGUUGCGGACAACGAUAAUGAUUAAUAGGGAUAGUUGGGGGUGUCCGUAUUGAGCUGUCAGAGGUGAAAUUCUUGGAUUUGCUCAAGACGAACUACUGCGAAAGCAUUCACCAAGGAUGUUUUCAUUAA